Molecule: ribosomal RNA, 468 nt
Filed under: uncultured bacterium
Lineage: Bacteria
Description: partial 16S ribosomal RNA
Rfam family: Bacterial small subunit ribosomal RNA
Source: RNAcentral
GACGAACGCUGGCGGCGUGCUUAACACAUGCAAGUCGAACGGAAAGGCCCUGCUUUUGUGGGGUGCUCGAGUGGCGAACGGGUGAGUAACACGUGAGUAACCUGCCCUUGACUUUGGGAUAACUUCAGGAAACUGGGGCUAAUACCGGAUAGGAUCUCCUGCUGCAUGGUGGGGGUUGGAAAGUUUCGGCGGUUGGGGAUGGACUCGCGGCUUAUCAGCUUGUUGGUGGGGUAGUGGCUUACCAAGGCUUUGACGGGUAGCCGGCCUGUGAGGGUGACCGGCAACAUUGGGACUGAGAUACGGCCCAGAGUCCAACGGGAGGCAGCAGUGGGGAAUAUUGCACAAUGGGCGGAAGCCUGAUGAAGAAACGCCGCGUGCGGGAUGACGGCCUUCGGGUUGUAAACCGCUUUCGCCUGUGACGAAGCGUGAGUGACGGUAAUGGGUAAAGAAGCACCGGCUAACUACGUG